CAAAGUCCUCGAGUGCAAUUUGUUAAUUCCUAUACAUAAUUAAUUACCAUCCUGAUAUUAAAAUCGAGGCCAUUUUAUUUAAAGCUUUAAACAUUAAACAAUAAGUCCUUCAGGGUUAGUAAAAGCGAAAAAUUACAAGAACAAAGGAAAAUCGAAUUUGCGAUAAACCGGACGAAGUCAGGGUAAAUUCAAUAAUAAAAUGUUCUCAUAAGUAUAUGAAAAAAUGGCGGCAAUGGUUUUAAAGAAACUGAUGAAUGGACUUAAUGCAUUUAGGAAUCUCACAGGGCAGAUUGAAUUAUUAAAUGUUCGAACAUGUAAACAAUUUUCCAAUUUAAGUUGUACGGGUCCUUUAUUAAAAUGGACAUGGUCCUUGCGGAGUAUCUUCCAGAUGGACAAAGCGAUGAAAAAUUUGCAUGAAAUUAGCCCAAAGCCCGAAGUGUCGCCUGUUCGUAUACCCUAACCUUCUCGCACUCC
Orussus abietinus is the source of this 474-nucleotide long non-coding RNA. RefSeq lists it as uncharacterized. The transcript has 3 exons. Lineage: Eukaryota; Metazoa; Arthropoda; Insecta; Hymenoptera; Orussidae. The record is from RefSeq and is a predicted model, not a curated record.